CCUACGGGAGGCAGCAGCCAAGAAUUUUCCGCAAUGGGCGAAAGCCUGACGGAGCGACGCCGCGUGAGGGAAGAAGGUCUUCGGAUUGUAAACCUCUUUUGUAAGGGAAGAAUAAGGCUAUCAGGCAAUGGGUAGCUGAUGACGGUACCUUACGAAUAAGCCCCGGCUAAUUACGUGCCAGCAGCCGCGGUAAUACGUAAGGGGCUAGCGUUGCUCGGAAUUACUGGGCGUAAAGGGCGCGUAGGCGGUUUUGUAAGUCAAAUGUCAAAGGCCACGGCUCAACUGGGGAAAGGCAUUUGAAACUGCGAAGCUAGAGUAUAGUGGAAGGCGAUGGAAUUCCCGGUGUAGGGGUGAAAUGCGGAGAUAUCGGGAGGAACACCGAAGGCGAAGGCAGUCGUCUAUGCUAAUACUGACGCUGAGGCGCGAAAGCGGGGGGAGCAAACAGGAUUAGAUCCCCGGGUAGU
RNAcentral lists this ribosomal RNA (464 nucleotides) under uncultured Spirochaetota bacterium. RNAcentral's name for it is "uncultured Spirochaetes bacterium partial 16S ribosomal RNA". It matches the Rfam family "Bacterial small subunit ribosomal RNA", at positions 338 to 794 of the family's 1533-position model. Lineage: Bacteria; Pseudomonadati; Spirochaetota. The record is from RNAcentral.